GGGGAAUUGUUCGCAAUGGGCGCAAGCCUGACGACGCAACGCCGCGUGGAGGAUGAAGAUCUUCGGGUCGUAAACUCCUUUCGAUCGAGACGAAUUCCUCCGGGGUGAACAAUCCCGGAGGUUGACGGUACCGAGAGAAGAAGCCCCGGCUAACUCCGUGCCAGCAGCCGCGGUAAUACGAAGGGGGCUAGCGUUGUUCGGAAUUACUGGGCGUAAAGGGCGCGUAGGCGGCCUUGUUAGUCGAGUGUGAAAGCCCUGGGCUUAACCCGGGAAGCGCGCUUGAUACUGCGAGGCUUGAGUGUGGGAGAGGAUGAUGGAAUUCCCAGUGUAGAGGUGAAAUUCGUAGAUAUUGGGAAGAACACCGGUGGCGAAGGCGAUCAUCUGGACCACAACUGACGCUGAGGCGCGAAAGCGUGGGGAGCAAA
RNAcentral lists this ribosomal RNA (425 nucleotides) under uncultured bacterium. RNAcentral describes it as "bacterial SSU rRNA". It matches the Rfam family "Bacterial small subunit ribosomal RNA", at positions 356 to 772 of the family's 1533-position model. The record is from RNAcentral.